This 253-nucleotide ribosomal RNA is filed under the name uncultured bacterium. RNAcentral's name for it is "partial 16S ribosomal RNA". It matches the Rfam family "Bacterial small subunit ribosomal RNA", at positions 524 to 776 of the family's 1533-position model. The record is from RNAcentral.
UACAGAGGGGGCAAGCGUUGUUCGGAAUUACUGGGCGUAAAGGGCGCGUAGGCGGCCUUCUAAGUCGAACGUGGAAUCCCCGGGCUCAACCCGGGAACUGCGUCCGAUACUGGGAGGCUUGAAUCCGGGAGAGGGAUGUGGAAUUCCAGGUGUAGCGGUGAAAUGCGUAGAUAUCUGGAGGAACACCGGUGGCGAAGGCGGCAUCCUGGACCGGUAUUGACGCUGAGGCGCGAAAGCCAGGGGAGCAAACGGG